This 425-nucleotide ribosomal RNA is filed under the name uncultured bacterium. Its description in RNAcentral is "partial 16S ribosomal RNA". It matches the Rfam family "Bacterial small subunit ribosomal RNA", at positions 354 to 796 of the family's 1533-position model. The record is from RNAcentral.
GUGGGGAAUCUUGCGCAAUGGGCGAAAGCCUGACGCAGCCAUGCCGCGUGAAUGAUGAAGGUCUUAGGAUUGUAAAAUUCUUUCACCGGGGACGAUAAUGACGGUACCCGGAGAAGAAGCUCCGGCUAACUUCGUGCCAGCAGCCGCGGUAAUACGAAGGGGGCUAGCGUUGCUCGGAAUUACUGGGCGUAAAGGGCGCGUAGGCGGACAGCUUAGUCAGAGGUGAAAGCCCAGGGCUCAACCUUGGAAUUGCCUUUGAUACUGGCUGUCUUGAGUUUGGGAGGGGUGAGUGGAACUCCGAGUGUAGAGGUGAAAUUCGUAGAUAUUCGGAAGAACACCAGUGGCGAAGGCGACUCACUGGCCCAAUACUGACGCUGAGGCGCGAAAGCGUGGGGAGCAAACAGGAUUAGAAACCCCUGUAGUCC